RNAcentral lists this ribosomal RNA (253 nucleotides) under uncultured bacterium. RNAcentral's name for it is "partial 16S ribosomal RNA". It matches the Rfam family "Bacterial small subunit ribosomal RNA", at positions 524 to 776 of the family's 1533-position model. The record is from RNAcentral.
UACGUAGGGUGCAAGCGUUGUCCGGAAUUACUGGGCGUAAAGGGCUCGUAGGCGGCCAACUAAGCCAGACGUGAAAUCCCUCGGCUUAACCGGGGAACUGCAUCUGAUACUGGAUGGCUUGAGUUCGGGAGAGGGAUGCGGAAUUCCCAGUGUAGCGGUGAAAUGCGCAGAUAUCAGGAGGAACACCAAUGGCGAAGGCAGCUCGCUGGGACGUGACUGACGCUGAGACGCGAAAGCGUGGGGAGCAAACAGG